RNAcentral lists this ribosomal RNA (207 nucleotides) under uncultured bacterium. RNAcentral describes it as "partial 16S ribosomal RNA". It matches the Rfam family "Bacterial small subunit ribosomal RNA", at positions 568 to 774 of the family's 1533-position model. The record is from RNAcentral.
AACGCAGGCGGUCUUUUAAGUCUGAUGUGAAAGCCUUCGGCUUAACCGAAGUAGUGCAUUGGAAACUGGAAGACUUGAGUGCAGAAGAGGAGAGUGGAACUCCAUGUGUAGCGGUGAAAUGCGUAGAUAUAUGGAAGAACACCAGUGGCGAAGGCGGCUGUCUGGUCUGUAACUGACGCUGAGGCUCGAAAGCAUGGGUAGCGAACA